UCAAUUUUACAGGUUAAAGACAAAUUUAAUUUUUUAUAGAUCCGUUGAAUAACAAUAUAAAGAAUAAUUUGCUAUAGAAAGAGAUAUUAGAGUAAAACAGAGGUAAUGUCUAGAUGAAUCGACUCAAAUUCAGUGUGAUGGUUAAACUUAUCUAUACUCUGUUUUUAUGAUAUAUAUAAGUAAUACAAAAUAGACAUUUAUGCCUGAAGAAAACGAGGAUCCAGGAUGCAUUUUUAAAAGAUGCAAAAAUAAGCGUCCAGGAGUCUUCCGCGCUAUUCUAAUAAUAACAUGUACACUUCUUAUUAUUUCUAUUGUAAUUAUCUUUUUCCGUUCUUAAACAAUACAGAGAAUAAAACUAAA
Long non-coding RNA from Sitophilus oryzae (rice weevil), 360 nucleotides. RefSeq lists it as uncharacterized. Lineage: Eukaryota; Metazoa; Arthropoda; Insecta; Coleoptera; Curculionidae. The record is from RefSeq and is a predicted model, not a curated record. The transcript is spliced from 2 exons.